CCUACGGGUGGCUGCAGUCGAGAAUCAUUCACAAUGGGGGAAACCCUGAUGGCGCGACGCCGCGUGGGGGAAUGAAGGUCUUCGGAUUGUAAACCCCUGUCAUGUGGGAGCAAAUUAAAAAGAUAGUACCACAAGAGGAAGAGACGGCUAACUCGGCGGCAGCAGCCGCGGUAAUACAGAGGUCUCAAGCGUUGUUCGGAAUCACUGGGCGUAAAGCGUGCGUAGGCUGUUUCGUAAGUCGUGUGUGAAAGGCGCGGGCUCAACCCGCGGACGGCACAGGAGAAUGAGAGACUAGAGUAAAGGAGGGGGAACCGGAAUUCUCGGUGUAGCAGUGAAAUGCGUAGAUAUCGAGAGGAACACUCGUGGCGAAGGCGGGUUCCUGGACAGUAACUGACGCUGAGGCACGAAGGCCAGGGGAGCGAAAGGGAUUAGAUACCCUGGUAGUC
Molecule: ribosomal RNA, 446 nt
Filed under: uncultured bacterium
Lineage: Bacteria
Description: partial 16S ribosomal RNA
Rfam family: Bacterial small subunit ribosomal RNA
Source: RNAcentral